UAAGUGUUGAAAACUCCAUGCCCACUUA
RNAcentral lists this small RNA (28 nucleotides) under Bombyx mori (domestic silkworm). RNAcentral's name for it is "ovarian small RNA-19449". The record is from RNAcentral. Lineage: Eukaryota; Metazoa; Arthropoda; Insecta; Lepidoptera; Bombycidae.